RNAcentral lists this ribosomal RNA (255 nucleotides) under uncultured bacterium. RNAcentral's name for it is "partial 16S ribosomal RNA". It matches the Rfam family "Bacterial small subunit ribosomal RNA", at positions 524 to 777 of the family's 1533-position model. The record is from RNAcentral.
UACGUAGGGGGCAAGCGUUGUCCGGAAUUAUUGGGCGUAAAGCGCGCGCAGGCGGCUAAUUAAGUCUGGUGUUUAAUCCCGGAGCUCAACUCCGGGUCGCACGGGAAACUGGUUGGCUUGAGUACAGAAGAGGAAAGUGGAAUUCCACGUGUAGCGGUGAAAUGCGUAGAGAUGUGGAGGAACACCAGUGGCGAAGGCGACUUUCUGGGCUGUAACUGACGCUGAGGCGCGAAAAGCGUGGGGGAGCAAACAGGG